RNAcentral lists this ribosomal RNA (513 nucleotides) under Septoria protearum. Its description in RNAcentral is "eukaryotic LSU rRNA". The stretch from base 178 to 331 matches the Rfam family "5.8S ribosomal RNA". The record is from RNAcentral. Lineage: Eukaryota; Fungi; Ascomycota; Dothideomycetes; Mycosphaerellales; Mycosphaerellaceae.
CUCCGUAGGUGAACCUGCGGAGGGAUCAUUACUGAGUGAAGGGCCUCCGGGCCCGACCUCCAACCCUUUGUGAACACACUUGUUGCUUCGGGGGCGACCCUGCCGUUUCGACGGCGAGCGCCCCCGGAGGCCUUCAAACGCUGCAUCUUUGCGUCGGAGUUUAAGUAAAUUAAACAAAACUUUCAACAACGGAUCUCUUGGUUCUGGCAUCGAUGAAGAACGCAGCGAAAUGCGAUAAGUAAUGUGAAUUGCAGAAUUCAGUGAAUCAUCGAAUCUUUGAACGCACAUUGCGCCCUUUGGUAUUCCGAAGGGCAUGCCUGUUCGAGCGUCAUUUCACCACUCAAGCCUGGCUUGGUAUUGGGCGCCGCGGUCCAUCCGCGCGCCUCAAAGUCUCCGGCUGAGCUGUCCGUCUCCAAGCGUUGUGAUUUCAUUAAUCGCUUCGGAGCGCGGGCGGCCGCGGCCGUUAAAUCUUCACAAGGUUGACCUCGGAUCAGGUAGGGAUACCCGCUGAAC